Bombus terrestris (buff-tailed bumblebee) is the source of this 631-nucleotide long non-coding RNA. RefSeq lists it as uncharacterized. The record is from RefSeq and is a predicted model, not a curated record. NCBI's taxonomy places the organism in Eukaryota, Metazoa, Arthropoda, Insecta, Hymenoptera, Apidae. The transcript has 3 exons.
AGUAAGAACAAUAAUUACCGUUCGUUUAUCGAAUAGUAUACGUUAAUCGUUCGUCUAUCGAGUAAUAAUAAUUAUCAUUUGUCUAUCGAGCAUAUUAAUUAAUUACCGUUCGUCAACCGAAUAAUUACUAUUGUCUAUCGAAGAGUUAAUUACUAUUUUGACUAUCGAAGAGUUAGUUAUCAUUUUGUCAAUCGAAGAAUUUUAUAUCCGUCAGUCUGUCAGUCAAUUGUCAACAUCGAAAUCAAAUAUCAUAAUAUUGUCAUCCGAAAAAGUGCUUCUGGACUGUUGAGGUUAUCUGAUAGAGGAACGCGUGGAUACAUUUAUAAUAGAAAUAUAUAUACAAGUAAGCAUAAGUAUAGGUAUAGUAUAUGCCGAUCCAGAUCAUCACUUUAGCAGUGUCACAUUACAAUAGAAUAUAAUAGGGAGCAGGUUGAUACAUUGACAGCAAACAACAUUACCAAAAAAUUAACCUUGACCUUGUGACCCAAAAACAACAUUCAUAUUCAAGGACGCAAUAAUAUGGACCUCUCCUUUUCGUUAACUUUUUUGCUUCACCAAGUUCUAUUUUCAUCGUAACAGCGGUGUCCAGGUCGCGGGUAUACAAACAAAGAAGAUGUAGAGUUUUUCUAGA